UCCCCCCUCUAAUCAGUGAAACUGAUCUCUCCGUGAAGAAGCGGGGAUAUACAUAUAAGACGAGAAGACCCCAUGGAGCUUUAAACCCGACAGCACCCGCUUAUUUUAAGCCCAAUUAUACGCCCGUACCUGUCUGCUCGGUUUUAGGUUGGGGUGACCACGGAGUAUAAAGUAACCUCCAUGAAGAAAGGGGUAAAUACCCUUAUUAGAGAAAGACACUUCCAAAAACUAACAAAUUAAUUUUUAAUGAUCCGAUAUUCGAUCAACGAACCAAGUUACCCUGGGGAUAACAGCGCAAUCCACCUCGAGAGCUCCUAUCGACAGGUGGGUUUACGACCUCGAUGUUGGAUCAGGGUAUCCCAGUGGUGCAGCAGCUACCAAAGGUUCGUUUGUUCAACGAUUAAAACCCU
Molecule: ribosomal RNA, 410 nt
Filed under: Boophis obscurus
Lineage: Eukaryota; Metazoa; Chordata; Amphibia; Anura; Mantellidae
Description: partial 16S ribosomal RNA
Rfam family: Bacterial large subunit ribosomal RNA
Source: RNAcentral